RNAcentral lists this unclassified non-coding RNA (337 nucleotides) under soil metagenome. RNAcentral describes it as "partial contains 5.8S ribosomal RNA, internal transcribed spacer 2, and large subunit ribosomal RNA". The stretch from base 1 to 120 matches the Rfam family "5.8S ribosomal RNA", at positions 35 to 154 of the family's 154-position model. The record is from RNAcentral.
GAUGAAGAACGCAGCGAAAUGCGAUAAGUAAUGUGAAUUGCAGAAUUCAGUGAAUCAUCGAAUCUUUGAACGCACAUUGCGCCCGCCAGAAUACUGGCGGGCAUGCCUGUUCGAGCGUCAUUUCAACCAUCAAGCCCCCCGGCUUGUGUUGGGGACCUGCGGCUGCCGCAGGCCCUGAAAAGCAGUGGCGGGCUCGCUGUCACACCGAGCGUAGUAGCAUACAUCUCGCUCUGGGCGUGCUGCGGGUUCCGGCCGUUAAACCACCUUCAUAACCCAAGGUUGACCUCGGAUCAGGUAGGAAGACCCGCUGAACUUAAGCAUAUCAAUAAGCGGAGGA